RNAcentral lists this long non-coding RNA (859 nucleotides) under Ananas comosus (pineapple). RNAcentral describes it as "long non-coding RNA (ACOM_LNC019108)". Lineage: Eukaryota; Viridiplantae; Streptophyta; Magnoliopsida; Poales; Bromeliaceae. The record is from RNAcentral.
AAAAUAACUAUGUUAGGAUUUGAAAUAAUAUUAUAUAUAAAGUAUAAUAAAACUAUACUUUUUAAUUGGUUAUUAUAUUUUUGGUGAUAUUAGAUUUACGAGGUUAAGAAGAUUAAAUAUGUUAAGACUAGAGAAGUUAUAGGAUGAAUGACCUCCCAAAAAGUGAGGUGGUAUCAGAACCAAAUGUCAACCGAAAGUAUGAUUUGAGUUUCGGUACUCAGUCAAGAUAUGAGUGACAGAUUAAAACAAAAUUUUAAAAAGAUUAAAUUAGGGCAUCAACGACAAGACCAGUGAGACGAGACUCACAUCACAUGUUGUUUGUAAGUUUAUUUGGGCCUGCAUCACAAUAUGUCUAACUUAUAUUAAUACAUAUCUUUGAAUAGCGCAAUUCUAACUAUACACUAAUUUAUACCGUUUGGUUCGGGUAUAAGCAAGAAUUAGUUAUUAUAGGGAUACGUGCAAAUAUGGAAAUAAGAAAAAUAGUAUUUGGAUGAAAAUUGGGUUGUUCCCAAGAAUAAAAACAAUUUUAGAUAGUUUUAUAUAGAAAGUGGAGGUGUUGGUGGGAAUAACCGAGAAUUACUAUUCUCGAAUAAAAAAUUAGCAUUUGGGUAUAAAAGGGGAUAAGAGUUUAUUCCUAUUCCUAUCCUCUAACCAAACGCUGCUUUUUUAAAAAAGUAUAAAUCGUACACUCGUCCAUCAAAAUAUUAAUUGUAUCCCAACUCUGUUUUUUAAUACUAAAAAUUUUAAAAAAUAUAUUAUUUCAGCUUUUGGAUAAAUGGAGCAUAAAAUUUGUAUUAUUUUUCUUUACAAAUAUAUAUAUAUAUAUAUAUUUUUUAUUUUGAUAAUAUUAUCAUCUUAA